This 129-nucleotide ribosomal RNA is filed under the name Enterococcus faecium. RNAcentral's name for it is "partial 16S ribosomal RNA". It matches the Rfam family "Bacterial small subunit ribosomal RNA", at positions 1 to 113 of the family's 1533-position model. Lineage: Bacteria; Bacillati; Bacillota; Bacilli; Lactobacillales; Enterococcaceae. The record is from RNAcentral.
UUUUUAUGAGAGUUUGAUCCUGGCUCAGGACGAACGCUGGCGGCGUGCCUAAUACAUGCAAGUCGAACGCUUCUUUUUCCACCGGAGCUUGCUCCACCGGAAAAAGAGGAGUGGCGAACGGGUGGGUAA